CACAGGAUGAAACACAGGACUGGCUGCUUUUCACAUUCCCUCUGCUAAUGUGCAAGUGAGACAUGCAUAGUUGAGAUUCCAUCCACCCCAGCCAGCUUUCCUGAGCCUUGGGAAACUGGCUCACCAUGAAUCCUAGCUUCUGUUGUCUCUUGCUGCCUAUCUUGUCAUAAAGAAGAAUAUUUGAAGCUCUACAAAUAUGUUGCUUUACAUGACAAAAGGACUGUGCAGAUAUGAGUGCAUUAAGGAUCUUGAGAUAGAAAUAUUAUCCUGGAUUAUCUGGGUGGGCACAAUGUAAUCACGAGAGGCUUUCUAAGAAGGAAGAAGGAAGGUCUGAGACAGAAAAACAGGAAGAAGCUGUAACGUUGGCUUUGAAGAUAAAAGAUAGGGACACAGGUCAAGGAAUGCAGGUAGUCUCUAGAAGCUCGAAAAGUCAAAGAAAUGAAUUCUCCCCUAGAGUCUGAAGAAGGAACACAGCUCUGCCAGCGUCUUGAUUUUAGGAUUUCUGACCUCCAAACUGACAGAGUUGCACUCUGUUGGCCAGUGUGGAGUGUAGUGGUGCAGUCACUACUCACUGUGGUCUUAACCUCCCGGAUUCAAGCCAUCCUCCCACCUCAGACUCUCUUGCUCUGUUGCUCAGACUGGAGUACAGUGUUGUGA
This is a long non-coding RNA of Callithrix jacchus (white-tufted-ear marmoset), 657 nucleotides long. The record is from Ensembl. NCBI's taxonomy places the organism in Eukaryota, Metazoa, Chordata, Mammalia, Primates, Cebidae.